CAUGCAGUCGAGCGAACUGAUUAGAAGCUUGCUUCUAUGACGUUAGCGGCGGACGGGUGAGUAACACGUGGGCAACCUGCCUGUAAGACUGGGAUAACUUCGGGAAACCGAAGCUAAUACCGGAUAGGAUCUUCUCCUUCAUGGGAGAUGAUUGAAAGAUGGUUUCGGCUAUCACUUACAGAUGGGCCCGCGGUGCAUUAGCUAGUUGGUGAGGUAACGGCUCACCAAGGCAACGAUGCAUAGCCGACCUGAGAGGGUGAUCGGCCACACUGGGACUGAGACACGGCCCAGACUCCUACGGGAGGCAGCAGUAGGGAAUCUUCCGCAAUGGACGAAAGUCUGACGGAGCAACGCCGCGUGAGUGAUGAAGGCUUUCGGGUCGUAAAACUCUGUUGUUAGGGAAGAACAAGUACAAGAGUAACUGCUUGUACCUUGACGGUACCUAACCAGAAAGCCACGGCUAACUACGUGCCAGCAGCCGCGGUAAUACGUAGGUGGCAAGCGUUAUCCGGAAUUAUUGGGCGUAAAGCGCGCGCAGGCGGUUUCUUAAGUCUGAUGUGAAAGCCCACGGCUCAACCGUGGAGGGUCAUUGGAACUGGGGAACUUGAGUGCAGAAGAGAAAAGCGGAAUUCCACGUGUAGCGGUGAAAUGC
Molecule: ribosomal RNA, 652 nt
Filed under: Priestia megaterium
Lineage: Bacteria; Bacillati; Bacillota; Bacilli; Caryophanales; Bacillaceae
Description: bacterial SSU rRNA
Rfam family: Bacterial small subunit ribosomal RNA
Source: RNAcentral